This 433-nucleotide ribosomal RNA is filed under the name uncultured bacterium. RNAcentral's name for it is "partial 16S ribosomal RNA". It matches the Rfam family "Bacterial small subunit ribosomal RNA", at positions 29 to 507 of the family's 1533-position model. The record is from RNAcentral.
AACGAACGCUGGCGGCAUGCCUAACACAUGCAAGUCGAACGAAGGCUUCGGCCUUAGUGGCGCACGGGUGCGUAACGCGUGGGAAUCUGCCCUUUGGUUCGGAAUAACAGCUGGAAACGGCUGCUAAUACCGGAUGAUGACGAAAGUCCAAAGAUUUAUCGCCAGAGGAUGAGCCCGCGUUGGAUUAGGUAGUUGGUGGGGUAAAGGCCUACCAAGCCGACGAUCCAUAGCUGGUCUGAGAGGAUGAUCAGCCACACUGGGACUGAGACACGGCCCAGACUCCUACGGGAGGCAGCAGUGGGGAGUAUUGGACAAUGGGCGCAAGCCUGAUCCAGCAAUGCCGCGUGAGUGAUGAAGGCCCUAGGGUUGUAAAGCUCUUUUACCCGGGAAGAUAAUGACUGUACCGGGAGAAUAAGCCCCGGCUAACUCCGUG